This is a non-coding RNA of Cherax quadricarinatus, 8368 nucleotides long. NCBI's taxonomy places the organism in Eukaryota, Metazoa, Arthropoda, Malacostraca, Decapoda, Parastacidae. The record is from RefSeq and is a predicted model, not a curated record.
GAGGCGCACUCUGCUGGCCGUCAUGUUUACACUCCCUCUGUGUGCUGGCAUCUCACUUCUAUUUUGUUGAAUAAUUUCAUCAAGAUGUGUAGUUAAUCGUGACCUGUUUAACUACCUAAGUGUGCGGACUGCUGUGUUGCACUACCGAGCAUGUUGCAGGGGAUUUAUACACGGUAGAAGCAAGAAUAAGGAGCCGCCUCGUGAGAAAUAGGUUGUGGCUGUGUGGAGCAGCAGACGAGUGUGUGAUAGAGGGAGAGAGAGAGAGGGAGAGACACUAUUUCAUACUAUAGGGGAUGGAUCUCCUAACCCCUUCGCUGCAGAUGACUUCAAGGUGUUGUACAACAUCAAAGUUUCCAUGCGGAUAACAGGAGGUGUGGAUACAAUCACCAGUCACUUGAUUGUUUAGUCCCUAAUUCCUGAUACAUGACAGCACUAAGGGCACAUGCAGAUUAGCCUGGGCUGUUCUGUGGACCUGCAGCACCAUGCAAUCCUAUGCUGACAACGCUUCACCAUCUAUUAUCAGACAAGAUGAUUCUUCAAGCAGUUGAAUAGAUUAAGGACAGUCUAUACCUUCAGUGAAAAUAUCUGCAAACAUGGAUUUGUUCGUGCUGUGGAGUGACCCAUUCAUUACAGCAAGAGAGAUUGGUAGAGGCAUCACUUGCUAUCAGUUACUCGGCCAGCCUCUCGAACACCUACAAGAUGUUGCAGUAUGCUUUUGUCAGCUUUCAAUAUUUUGUUUAUCUUCAUUAAUACUCUUCUUCAUAUUAUAUAAAACUGAGAAGAUUAUAGCAUUUUUCUUUAAUAGAGGGUUAUGGAAUGGUAUGUAUUUCAGACUUCUUAACUGUUCUCACUCAAAACUAGCUGCUCUUUCACAAAAUUUUACAGAUUUUCUGACCUGAGUACAGUAUUUGGCAUUUAGUAAUGAGUUAUCAAUGGCUUGUGUUGCUAGGUCUUUUGUGGCAAUGCUCUGUCGAGUUUCUUGUUGUGUAUGGACAAACAACUUAUAGGUUUUUGAAAGCUGUGAUAGUAAAUCUUCUUCAGCACUUAUUUUUACCUUCAUGUUGUAUUUUCAUUGUGAAGAAAACUUUCCCCAGGCAAAAGAUAUUACAUGUGUUGGGGAUGAAAUAUGAGAUCUCAGCUUGUAGGACAGUGUUCACCUACACAAUUCAGCAGUGAUAUUUUUUUUACACCAGCAAUCUGCUACUGCUCUUCCUGGUUCCUUGGCUUGAUCAGGGUUGAAUUAUUUUUUAUUAUUAAUAGCCACACAACUACACCUAAAAGCUACUUAGCUGCAAAAUGCCACAUUUUCCAUGGAAGCUGUCUUUCACAUUACAGCAGGUUUUUUGGGGAAGGCUUGUAAUAGAUUUAACAAUAAUUACUUGUUAUUGUUUGUUAGCAUCAGCAAGGUAGCAUUAUGUAGGUAGUUAGGGAAACCUUGAGACUUGGGUCCUGGAGGUGGGAAGCACAGUGUCUGUGCUUUGAAAGAGGGGUGGGGAUUUUCUCUAGAUAAUUCACGUAGAUAGUUCCUGGAUCACUGGCUUUGUGGCCUACUUCCAGACCAGGCCUCCCAGUUUGGAGGAUCGUAUGAAUUGUGAUGUCUAUGCAGUUCUGGGCAAGAUAACUUAUGAAUGAAUGAUGGUUGUUAUUUUGGGGGGGGGGGGGCCCUACCGUGGUGGAAGACUGUUGGUGCAUUGAAAUAAAUGAUUGACUAUUUUAUUGUACAUAUUCAGGUUAACAAGUAACCUUAAUCAGAUGAGACUUCAUCUGAUGCAUCCUGCAUUUUGAUCCACCAGGAUCCACAAAGAAAGGGAGUUAGCUGCCCAGUACUAUGAACUGGUUUGGAUAUACUCUAGCUGUUUGAUCAUCUUUGAGGCUUAACCCUUUGACUGUUUUGGUCGUAAACAUACGUCUUACGAGCCACCGUUUUUGACGUAUAUAUACUCAUAAAUUCUAGCGGCUUCAAAUCAAGCAGGAGAAAGCUGGUAGGCCCACAUGUGAGAGAAAGGGUCUGUGUGGUCAGUGUGCACCAUAUAAAAAACGACCUGCAGCACGUAGUGCAUAAUGAGAAAAAAAAAACUCCGUUUUUUUUUUAAUUAAAAUGCCGACUUUGUGGUCUAUUUUCGUAUAGUAUUUAUAGUUGUAUUCUCGUUUUCUUGGUCUCAAUUGAUAGACUGAUAAACAUAUUAUAGAAAUAGAGGUAAUUUUGAUUGGUUUUACUAUGAGAAGAACCUUGAAAUGGAGCUCAUAGUAGGGGAAAUGUUUGAUUUUUGCCAAUGUUCAAAAGUAAACAAAUGAUGUCAUUUUCCAAUAUAUGUCCAAGUAGCCAUUCUAAUAUGCAGUCAUGAAUGGGUUGACAUUAUUUAUACAAUUAUUACAAUAUUGCAGUAGUCUGCAUAACAGUAAAUCUUCUGUUUUUUUUUUUUUUUUUUUUUUUUUUAAUAAAAAUUCAAAAUAGAAAGCAAGAGAAAUAUCAGAGGGGCCUGGAGACGUGACUGAUGAACAAAGAAAACGUUAUUUUAGAGCCAGGAAUGUCUGCAUUGUUCAUUCUGGACCCUAUUUUGAAUUUGUCAUAUUUUUUAAUUUUCGUGAAAUUGGCCAAAUUGCAAAUUUCUGACCACAUUAUUGGGUAGUUGAAAUCGGUAAACAGGCAGCUUUUUGUACUCAUUCGAUAGCAAAAAUGGAGUUCUAAAGAAAUAGCUAUGAGUUUGGUCGACUGGAACAAUGGAAUUAGCCGAAAAUAGGGCUCAAAGUGGGUGAAGUCGCCGAUUUGUAAAUAUUGCCAAGGUCGCUAACUUCGCGAGAGCGUAAUUCCGUCAGUUUUCCUUCAAAUUUCGUUCUUUUGGUGUCAUUACACUCGGGAAAAGAUUCUCUAUCAUUUCAUAAGAAUUUAUUUUUUGGGGGGAAAUUUUGCGACACCAGGAGACACCUCAGGAUUUGGGCUUGCGACAGUCAAGGGGUUAAGUAUUUGUAUUUGGCUAUAUUUCUUUUGCAGAUGUUCAUUGUACCUCACAGUUCUGUUUUUAAUUCUUGACCACCCAUUAGGCUCGGCAGUGCUGAUAUUGAGAGGGAGUUGAACUAUAGAGUUGCAUGUAAUCUUUUCCAGAGGUCACUACCUUUGGCCUGAUACCAGACCAAGCCUCUGGGGAGGUAGGGACAUUUAUUGUAAUUUAAGGAUAUAAAGAAUUGUAUGUAUUGUGAGGUUUAGUAGAAUAGGAGGCAGGGCAUACCUCCCUAGGUUGCCUUAAAGCAUUUACGCUGCUUCUGGUUAGAAAUUUAGGAAAACUAGGAAACUGGAAAUGUAUGCAAAGUAGCAGUGAAGAUGAACUAAAAGAGAAAUUUGGUAUGUAAAUGUCUGUUGUAUCUUGAACUGUAAAAUGAUUUAUUUAUUUAUUAACCCUUAAACUGUGGCAUGCCCAAAAGUAAAAAGUGCUGGAGGUGUAGCAAAAUUCUGAAAAAAAAGGAUUAAAAGUGCACAUUUUUCUCAGAAUAAGACAAAUACAAUCUGAUAAUCAUUUAACAUUUUUAUGGCCUGUUGAAUGAUUGGUGUUUAACACUAUGUACACUAGUUUCUUAUGAUACUAGAUGUAUUUCAAGGUGUUUUAGUACUCCAAACAUGGGAAGAUUCUUAUCUAAUAUAACCCCCUCAUCGAAUAUACAGUAUAAAUUAGCAUAAAUAAUUUUUUUUUUCAACAAACCAGCCAUAUCCUACCAAGGCAGGGCAACCUUAAAAGAAAAAAAUGUUUUUUCUUUUUAAAUUUAGUAAUUUAUACAGAAGGGGUUACUAGCCCGUUGCUCCUGGCAUUUUAGUCAUCUUUUACAGCAUGCAUGGCUUACAGAGGAAGAAUUCUAGCAAAAAUAAUUAUUUUUCCAUAUUUCAUCUGAUUGCUUUUGUCUUUGUCUUCUAACACUAUGUGAAGGAAAUCCUGUGAUAUUACAAUUGAUUCAGCCAUAAUACCUUUAGACAUGUGGAAAUAAGUCACAUUGUUUGACUUGAUUGGGUUAUUCGGGGUUAAAAAUAUAGGCUGUAAUGUACUUUUUGUUCCUUCAAGAAGUGUUAUGAUAUUACAAUUGAUUCAGGAUGUGCUACUUCUCAAUACAUGGAAAUAAGUCCCAUUGUUUGACUUUCUUAAGAUAUCCUGGGUUAAAAUUUAGGGAUGGGACAAUACUAAUAUUUUUGCCAGGACCAACACCACCAAAAUUAGCUGUUAUCCACUGAUACUCAGUUUUAGGCUGAUAUCAACACUUUCAAAAUUACCCGAUACCCACCGAUACUUUGGCAUACCCCUAUUAAAAAUAUACAUAUGCUGUAAUGUGCUCUUUUAUGUGCCCUCUUGACCAUUGUAAAAAAAAAAAAUGCUAUGUACACAUGCCAAAAUUAAAAAAAAAAAAAAAACGAAGAUGAAUAAAAGCAGAGUGGCAUGUCACACACUUUAUAAAGACCAUGGUACUCUUAGUCAUGAUACACUGUUUACCUGCCUGGCUUGUAUGUUUUAUCCAAGGUGCGACAAGGUGGCAGGACACCCAAACAGUUGAACUGAGGCCUAAAUAUUAGCUGGCAUCAAAUUUGUGAGGCCUAUAAAAAUUUGUGUUUAUAUAAGUUGUACCCACAAAAAAGAAGAUCCUGCACAUAUAUCCUGUAUACGUCGUGCACAGUUUAAGGGUUAACAAACCAGAAUGUUAUAUAAAUGUUAAAGCUUGAUAGAUAAUGUAAUAGCAUAAUGACUUUUGUGAAGUUCUUUGUUCUUGUUAUGUUUGGGUAAGAUUUAAGGGGUACGUAAGUACCCCUGUCUUCUAAUAACAUGUACAUUUUUCCCCUAUAAUCUACCUUUUCCAUAAUUACUAUCGCAUUUGCUUUGUUUGUUUCAUGAGGAGAGUUAUGUUGUAAAGGUCUGAGCACAGCUCAGACCUCUACAACACAAUUGUCCUCAAAGAUUUGUUAAGUUAUACCAUGAAUUAAGGAAAAAUCCUAGACUUCACUUUACGAAACAGACAAAGCAAAUAUGAUAGCGAUUAUGGAAAAGGUAGAUUAUAGGGGAAAAAUGAAUGUGUUAUUAGAAGACAGGUACUUACGUGUCUCUUAAGCUAGAAAAUAGUAAGAAUAUACAAACAAUUGAGUUAAGUGUCCCUCGCCCUGGUAGGCAAUGCUCUCGCUCAACACACUGAAUGUUCGUGGUUUGAUCCCUGGCAAGGGUGGCAAUAAUGGGUGUGUUUCUUUACACCUGCUGUCCCCAUUCACCUAGCAAGCAAGUAGGUACCUGGGUGUUAGUUGAAUGGUGUGGAUUGCAUCCUGGAGGACAAGAAUUAAGGACCCCAGUGGAAAUAAGACACAGUCCUUGAUGACGCACUGACUUUCUUGGAUUAUCCAGUGUAGCUAACCCUCUGGGGUAAAAAUCCAAACAAAAUCUUUAUUUACAUACGUUAAAGAUUGCAAUCAAAUUAUUGUAAAACUUGAAUUUCGUCAGUUGUUUUUGUGUCGGUGAAGAAGUCAGACAGUACAGUACAUAAUUUAAAAUAAUGCUAUAAAGGCAAUUUUUUAAAAAAAUUAAGGAAAGAAAAGCAUACUAAUUCCAAAACUGCCAUUUAGAUUGGAAUGAGAGUUUCUUUAAAUUACCUAUUAUAAUAAUUUAGCAUAGAAAUUUUCAGCAAAAUAAGUUGAUAACUUUGUAAAGAAAAUGAACAGGCUGAAUGCCUUUAAAGGAAUUUCACAUUUCAUGCUAACUUGAAAAAUUCUUAACAAAAUUGUAGUUUAGGACUUUCUUUGGGCUUCUAGGAGCAUUGUCAGAAUAUCUGCAAAGUCACUUUUUAUGUAGAUAUUGUAUGACAUUUUUGGGAGGUAGUCUUCUGUCAAGACUGAGACUGAUUUAUUUUGAUUGUACUGUUCAGCAGUUGUAACUUCACAAAUAAAUCAUAUUACUAAUAAUACAGUAAAUAUUACAGUUACAUUUCAAGGAAUGAGGCUGACUACUCAAGUCUCGCAUGGCAAUCUGAUAUCUGCAGCAUCACUCGCUAUCUCGCUUGAGGAUGAUAAUAGCAUCUGUGUCCUGCGAAGAAGUAAAUGAGUUAGCCUUCAGUAAGAUCCCAAGUAUCAACAUCAUCACUGCCUUCUCAUGGCCUGCCUCAAAUAUUUCUUUGCCGAAAUGGUCAACUAAAUUAUAUUUAGUAUGUUGACCUGUAUAUUUUGAAGUCUCUUGUCUUUGUGUAUGUUGCUGAAGGUUUGUGAAUCCUCUCCUAACAUGAGUACUGUAAAGACAGCUGUUGUGUGUAUGUUUCAUUGUGUGUGUGUCUACUGUGUAUUUUAAUUUUUUUCUAUCCUGUAAUCAGGUAAUCUCUUAUAACUUACAAUAUAUUAUACAGUAUUUGAUUGAUCUCUUACAUAUAAACAGUAUUAAUGUUACUUUGCUUGUAAGGAAUCAUUGAAUCAUAGCAUGAACAUAUUCAUAAUAUGACCCUUAUAUUCCUGUUCUAUUUUUAUCAGUAGAUUUUGGCUAAUGAAUACAGUAUUUGUGGAUACAGUACAUUUUGUAUUUAAAAUUUGUCUUUGAUAGAUUUUUUCUUGAAGUAUACAUAGUUUAGUGUGUAUUUUUAUUAUAUUUUCUCUGGAAUGUUGGAUCAGUGUAGUCAGUUCAGCUUAAGUUGUGACGGCUUAAUCCUCCAUAAGCUUGUUGGAGAAAAUAUACCUAAUGCCUGAAAUUUACUGUUCUGAGAUUUUUGUAAAUCAUUUAUUACUGAUUGGCUACUGAAGUGCUCUUAGAGUAUUUUUCUGUGUAUCUCAGUUAAUAACUCAGCAGUUGUAUCCUUUAACCUUUUGAGUGUCACAACCCCUACUCACAAACUUGCUCUCAGGGCUGAAGAAUUUUCAGAAAAAAAAAAAUCUUAUGAAAUGAUAGAGAAUCUUUUUCCUAAGGUAAUAAAACUAAAAGAACAAAAUUUGAUAGAAAACUUAUGGAAUUACACAGUCUCGGCAAUAUUUACGCAUCGGCGAUUUCCCCCACGUUGAGCACUAUUUUGGGCCAAUUCCACUGUUCCAGUUGACCAAACUCAGUUAUUUUGCUAGUACUCCUUUUAUUCUAUCAACUGACUGCAAGAAACUGCUCAUUUACCUAUUUCAACUACCCAAUAAGGUGAUCAGAAAUUACUAAUUUGGCCAAUUUCACACACAGUUCAAGAAAGGCCAAUUUCAAAAUUGGGUCUAGAAUAAACAGUGCAGACAUUCCUGGCACUAACAUAACAUUUUCUCUGUUCAUUAGUCAUAUCUCCAGGCCUCUCUUAAUUACACUCGCUUUUCACUUUUUACUUUUAUUCACACAAAAAAUAGAAGAUUUGCUUUUAUGCAGAAUACUGCAUUAUUGUAAUAAUUGUAUAAAUAAUAUCAGCGCAUUUGUGAAUGCAUAUUAGACCCACCAGUUGAUGUGUAUUGGACUCGUGACGUGAUUUGUUUACUCUUGAACAUCAGCAAAAAUCGAACAUUUCCACUAAUUUGAGCUCAAUUUCAAGCUACUUUAAUAUGUAAACCAUUCAAAAUCAUCUUUAUUUCUGUAAUAUACUAUGUUCAAUUCCAUCAAAUGUUACCAAGAAAACGAGAAUACAACCAUAAAAACCAUACAAAAAUACACCACACAGUUGCUGUUUUAAACCAAAACCACAGUCAGUUUUUUCUCAUGCACUGCAUGCUGCAGGAUUGUUUUUUAUACUGCACGCACUGACCACGCAGGCACAUUCUCUCACAGGUAGACCUACCAGCUUUCUCCCGCCAGAUUUGAAACCGCUAGAAUUUUGGUGUAGUAUUUCGGGACCGACACUGGGUUCAAAGCUGUUGUAUUACAGGACCAACACUGAAGGGGUUAAAAUGUCUCUUGAUCCAGUGGUAAAAUUAGGUAAAUGUUAAAUUUUAAAGAAACUGGCCCCAUAUGAUCUUGGACAUGGAAUAGGGGAUUGUUUAUUUAUACCCAGUACAGUGGACCCCCGGUUAACGAUAUUUUUUCAUUCCAGAAGUAUGUUCAGGUGCCAGUACUGACCGAAUUUGUUCCCAUAAGGAAUAUUGUGAAGUAGAUUAGUCCAUUUCAGACCCUCAAACAUACACGUACAAACGCACUUACAUAAAUACACUUAAAUAAUUGGUCGCAUUGGGAGGUGAUCGUUAUGCGGGGGUCCACUGUAUUAAUUGACCAUUCAUGUUAUUUUUUUUUUUUGUAAGAAAUUUCUUAAUCCUUUAGUUUUUAGUAUUGCCUUUAGAAAAAGUUUCAAAUAGCAGCAAGCAGGGUUACUUAAUUUUUUUUUUUUCCUGUUAGAAAGUAGUUGUGGUACACUAGUCAUACUUUUACCUGGAUUUCAACCUGUAUAACUGAUAAAUAAAUGUAUAUUUAUAUUA